RNAcentral lists this ribosomal RNA (254 nucleotides) under uncultured bacterium. Its description in RNAcentral is "partial 16S ribosomal RNA". It matches the Rfam family "Bacterial small subunit ribosomal RNA", at positions 524 to 776 of the family's 1533-position model. The record is from RNAcentral.
UACGGGGGGAGCAAGCGUUGUUCGGAUUUACUGGGCGUAAAGGGCGCGUAGGCGGUCAGCACAAGUCAGUUGUGAAAUCUCCGGGCUUAACUCGGAAAGGUCAACUGAUACUGUGCGACUAGAGUGCAGAAGGGGCAACUGGAAUUCUCGGUGUAGCGGUGAAAUGCGUAGAUAUCGAGAGGAACACCUGCGGCGAAGGCGGGUUGCUGGGCUGACACUGACGCUGAGACACGAAAGCCAGGGGAGCGAACGGG